GCUAUGAAGAGGAAGAAAGAGAAUAUCUAAGAGCGGUGGGAAUGGGAACAUGGAGGAAAGCAUCAUGCAGACAUUUGUCUCAGUGUUUUUCUGAUGCCUCCCAUUCCUACGGUUCUUAGGUACUCCUUCCUCUUCCUUUGGCCU
RNAcentral lists this microRNA precursor (144 nucleotides) under Zea mays. Its description in RNAcentral is "MIR2118 microRNA precursor family". It matches the Rfam family "MIR2118 microRNA precursor family". The record is from Rfam by way of RNAcentral. Lineage: Eukaryota; Viridiplantae; Streptophyta; Magnoliopsida; Poales; Poaceae.